ACAAUGUCCGCAUUAUAGAACAAUCCGCUCCACGGCGAGGAAAGCUCUGAAAAGGAGGUAAAAAUUUGAUGAGGUGGCGUCAGCAAAAACUAGCGCCCUUUAAUGUUUUGGAUCAAACCAAAUAAUCUAAAAUUCGAAGUCCUAAGAUCGCUGUGAAUGUUGAUCAGUGGACUUUAAUAUGUUUGAAAUGCGUUUUACUUAUAUAGAAACGGCUUUGUCAAACACUUGAGGUUACAAGAUUUCAAAUCCUGUCCCCCUGAAAAUAUCUAUCAGUUAAUGGAUGUAAUAUAAUCCAAAUUAGACACAGAAAAAAAACAGGUCAGUGAUCGCUUUUUAUUAUUUAAGUCCUCGGUAAAGGUGCACAAACGUCAAAUGCUUUUGACCUUCAGUUUCGUAUUUCGUAUUCGUUAUUUUUCGUACGGCAAGCAUCCUUUCGAUAAAACCAUUUAUGAUUUGAUUAUGGUUUAAUAUUAGGAUGUGAUUCCGUUUUUACAGAUAACAUAAAGAAGUUUAGCUAUGGCGACAUACUUCACAACAAAAACAUUGAAGAAAAAUGUCUUGCGAAAUAUUUUCGUUGUUAAGUCCGAACAAUAUUGCUAUAAAGCUGUGCAGAAAGAGGGAUUUCCUAAAGUUGUGUAAGAACCAACAUGAAGGUACAGAUCUGUAUUGUAUUGUUACUUCUGGUGUUGGUUGAAAGUGUUCCUAUAGGGUUAACAGGUAUAUCAGAUGGAACAGCAAGAGCAAAUUUUGAUCCAAGUUGUAAGCAUGUGACUGUUGAAGAAUGCAAAGAGUUUUGUGAUGACAGUGGAAAUAAUUGUUGGGAUAUGUGUGAUGAUAAAGUGAAACUUGUUUGCAACAGUUAAAUAAAAAGUGUGAAGACGAAUUAAAAUAUUGUAACUGAUAAAUAAUAAUAAUUGUGAAUUUACAA
Long non-coding RNA from Hydractinia symbiolongicarpus, 928 nucleotides. RefSeq lists it as uncharacterized. The record is from RefSeq and is a predicted model, not a curated record. Lineage: Eukaryota; Metazoa; Cnidaria; Hydrozoa; Anthoathecata; Hydractiniidae. The transcript is spliced from 2 exons.